Cyprinus carpio (common carp) is the source of this 708-nucleotide long non-coding RNA. RefSeq lists it as uncharacterized. The record is from RefSeq and is a predicted model, not a curated record. Lineage: Eukaryota; Metazoa; Chordata; Actinopteri; Cypriniformes; Cyprinidae. The transcript is spliced from 3 exons.
AAGUGAAAUAUUGGCGGAGUUCCGAGUGCUUUCCAGUGUUGCCAGGUUUUUUCAAAACCGCAAUUGCUACUCAAAACUAUCCCAAUCGCGUUUCGCGAAGGGUUCCCCGAAAAUUCACAUUCCAGGCACUAAAUAUCACAUUAUUGGGGUCGCUUCAACUUGCGGACAUGUAAAGCAACCCGCAGCAACAGUGUUACAAUAUCCCAAUUCCUCAGAAAAAUCGAGGACAUGGCAACGCUGUCGCGUCGGCGCUGCUUGGGUCUCUAUCAACAAAAUAUUUCAUCUGUACGCUCACGUGAACCUGCACGCAUGAAAUCUCUCUGGGCCUGCUGACGGUCUCUUUUGGCAUCUCGCCUUCAUCAGCCUAUACCUUUAUAAGAAUGGGGGUCACUCGUCGGGUUCCCAUGGUUAAAUGGAGUCAUCAAGCUUCGUGGGAAUUCCAUGGCUGCAGAUGCAGAGAACUUUGGCUCUCACCUCAUCUUUACACAGGUCACUCUUUGGACUGGCGCUAUUAUGAAGCAGGCUCUAUCAAGCUGAUGUAUAUGGUCAUCUUUCAGCUGAGUUCUAGGUAAGAGUCGGCUCGUCUUUAAAGUCCACGUGAACUGGAGGUCGCUGCUGACUUUAUUUCAGUGUGGUGAUGUUUUUCCAGCUGAAACGGAAUAUUGAAUAGAGGGCAUGGUUUUUGUUUGCGCUUCUAGUCUGUCUUUC